UUUCCGUAGGUGAACCUGCGGAAGGAUCAUUACUGAGUACCGGGUCUCUCAGGCCCUUACUCCCACCCUUUGUGUACCUUACCAAAUUUCAGUUGCUUUGGUGGGACUCUAACAGCCCCCCCCCUCGGGGGGGUAGAGCCCACCAUUGGAACUUUUUUAAACUCUUGAUAAUUGAGUUGUCUGAGAACAAAAACAAAUAAAUUAAAACUUUCAACAACGGAUCUCUUGGUUCUGGCAUCGAUGAAGAACGCAGC
RNAcentral lists this unclassified non-coding RNA (254 nucleotides) under uncultured fungus. RNAcentral's name for it is "sequence contains ITS1, 5.8S rRNA gene". The stretch from base 206 to 254 matches the Rfam family "5.8S ribosomal RNA", at positions 1 to 49 of the family's 154-position model. The record is from RNAcentral. Lineage: Eukaryota; Fungi.